Molecule: ribosomal RNA, 488 nt
Filed under: Malassezia globosa
Lineage: Eukaryota; Fungi; Basidiomycota; Malasseziomycetes; Malasseziales; Malasseziaceae
Description: partial large subunit ribosomal RNA
Rfam family: Eukaryotic large subunit ribosomal RNA
Source: RNAcentral
GCUGGCACCUCCGGUGUCCGCGUUGUAAUCUCGAGACGUGUUUUCCGUGCGGCUCUAUGGACAAGUCCCUUGGAAUAGGGCAUCGUAGAGGGUGAGAAUCCCGUACUUGCCAUGGAAGAACCGUGCUUUGCGAUACACGCUCUAAGAGUCGAGUUGUUUGGGAUUGCAGCUCAAAAUGGGUGGUAGACUCCAUCUAAAGCUAAAUAUCGGGGAGAGACCGAUAGCGAACAAGUACCGUGAGGGAAAGAUGAAAAGCACUUUGGAAAGAGAGUUAAAAGUACGUGAAAUUGUCGAAAGGGAAGCACUUGAAGUCAGCCAUGCUGCUUGAGACUCAGCCUGGCCUUUGGGCUUGGUGUAUUUCUCGGUGGCAAGCCAGCAUUGGUUUGGGUCGUCGGAGAAGCGCAUAGGGAAUGUAGCGUCCCCGGACGUGUUAUAGCCUUAUGCAGGAUACGACGACCUGGAUCAAGGAACGCAGUGUGCCCUCUGGG